CCAACUGAUACUGAGUCAGAAAAAAGUGGAACUCAGAAGAACAGUCUUCAGGCUAAGAGUUCUGAAAGUGGAGUGACCACUUGCAGGAAUGAUAAAAAUCUUAUUACUGAUACAUGGCAAACAGUAGUAACAGCAGUAUCAGAUAUGGUAACAGCUGAAAUAGAGUUUAGAGAAAUGGAGGAAGAAAAAGAACGUCAGCUAAAACAGAAACCUUCGAGAGCUGCGCAGAAACAACCAGGCAAUGUGGCUGGGAAAGAUAGCAAAGGUGCCAAAAAGGCGUCUUCCAAAUCACCUCCUAAAAAAAAAGGAGCAAAAGCCAAUCCGGUUCCUAUAGACCCAGAAGAAUUAAGGAAAGAAGAACUGGCACUUAAAAUAAAGCAAGAAUAUUUCAGUGCCUUGAAACAUGAGGGU
This 411-nucleotide long non-coding RNA is filed under the name Chloebia gouldiae (Gouldian finch). RNAcentral describes it as "Erythrura gouldiae (Gouldian finch) lncRNA (ENSEGOG00005007525.1)". Lineage: Eukaryota; Metazoa; Chordata; Aves; Passeriformes; Passeridae. The record is from RNAcentral.